This 266-nucleotide ribosomal RNA is filed under the name uncultured bacterium. Its description in RNAcentral is "partial 16S ribosomal RNA". It matches the Rfam family "Bacterial small subunit ribosomal RNA", at positions 57 to 305 of the family's 1533-position model. The record is from RNAcentral.
GCAAGUCGAACGAGAACGGGAGCUUCGGCUCCUAAGUACAGUGGCGCACGGGUGAGUAACGCGUAAGUAAUCUGCCUUCAAGUCUGGGAUAACCUCGCGAAAGCGAAGCUAAUACCGGAUAAGCUCACGAUAGGGUAAUCUAUCGCGAGAAAAGAUAGCCUCUUCUUGAAAGCUUUCACUUGAAGAUGAGCUUGCGUGUUAUUAGCUUGUUGGUGGGGUAAAGGCCUACCAAGGCUACGAUGGCUAACUGGUCUGAGAGGACGAUC